RNAcentral lists this long non-coding RNA (1138 nucleotides) under Numida meleagris (helmeted guineafowl). Its description in RNAcentral is "lncRNA (ENSNMEG00000018481.1)". Lineage: Eukaryota; Metazoa; Chordata; Aves; Galliformes; Numididae. The record is from RNAcentral.
CGGAGAACCUAGCCUGCUAAGCAGAUUUUCAUUGUAAAUCUGUCUGGUUUCCUGCCAGGUCACCUGCAUGGCUCCUUGGCUGCUUGCCAGUGCUUGCAGCUCUAAGGUAGCCACACCAGAACGCCUGCCCUGAUCUGAGACCUCGGCUCCCUGCAUUUACAUCUGUGUAGGAAGAGCCCUGGGCACAGGGACCCCUCCCAGGCAGAACCCCAGCUUCCCUGCAGGCUCUGAGGCAGCUUGGGUGGAUUUCCAUCCUCUGAAAAGUUUAGGGGAAAGGGAAAAAAAAGUUGUUCUGAAACUGAAUGGGAACUGUUUCUGCAAUGUUGAUGCUUCCUGCAGACCACGAACUCUGAAUUUGGCAGCUCUCAUGUGCCAGUAGAUAGAAGCAAGGGCAGAUGUCAAAUGGCAGGCUGUGCCUACCAUCAGCUGUGCUCCACGUUAUGUCUCCUGUCUUGACUACGCUGUGGUCUUCUCCGAGCUGAGAAAAGACAGUGACAAUGGAGAAAGGAAAGCCCUGAACAAGCGUUUCUGGCAUGAGGAAGAACCAGCUUCAGCGUCUCACCCUGCCACGUGUAGAACCUCGUGUUUCCUGUACUUGCUGGCACACUUGACUGCAGCCCUUCCUUCUCCAACAUGUCUCUGAGAUGCUGUCCCCAAGCAUGCUGGCAUGUUUGCACGAAACAUGUAUGAUCCAUCGGCCCAAUUUCCAUCUGCUACAGGAGUACUUUCUGUCUCUGAGAAUCCAGCCUGCCCAUGGAGAUAGGCUCUCUCGCAGAGUGCAGUGGGUUUUUGCAUGCUAAUCUACCUUGAGCAGAGUAUUAAGCAACAGAGGGCGCACAGGGCCCCCAGAAUCCCUUGGAAGGAUUAGCUGUGCCACUGAAUUGGAGAAGGUGCCCAGGAAGCCCACAAGACAUGCAAUAGCUGCCUGGGUUGAUAAGAAGUUAAGCAGACCAGUGUUGUUUUUCACUCAGAAAAGAGAGGGCUGUGAGAUGAUAUGACACAGGAGAUGUGCAACAUAAAAAGGAGAGAUGGGAGAGUCUGUCCAAGAGCUAGGAGAUGUUGCAUGAAGCUACUGGCCAGAAGGUUUAAAAUUUAAAGUGGAAGUGUUUUUCUACAUGUUACAAAACCAGCCUCAGUG